AUUUUACUUUUCAUCAUUUUUCUCUAUAGAAAAUACUAGAUAAGACAAUCUAGAGCUUGGAUCGAUGCAACAGGAGGUUAACCCAAGGAAUCAUUGCCCUUUUGGUGGGAAAAAAUGCAGAGUUUUGGUAGAUUUUGCUAAAACUUCAUAGAAUGUGCGGUCAAAAAGUAGUGUAUCCCAUAGAAUAUAUGAUUUAAUUAUUGACUUUAAUUGUGUUGGGUGCUCCCUCUCACAUGAGGGAACUCGUAAAUUUUAGUGGUAAGUCGGGACCACUUUACACUAAGUACCAAACCAAUUUUCAAAGCAAGAAAUCAAAGAUAAAUGAUAUAGAUACAUAGAGAAAAAUAGAGAAGAGAACGAGAGAAUUACACAAAAGGACUUUAGCUCUUUUUGCCAAUGAUCGAGGCUCAUUCGUGGUCUGAUUAAAUUAAAAUUUCAAUAUGUUAGUCCUAACAAAGAGAGCUACGUUUUGAAUGGAGCUGAUCGUCCAGACUCCUCUUCAAUUCUCUAGUCAGUAUACACUUAUUUAGUGAUAUUUUCUUUUUCUUACCUCAUGUAUACAUUUUGGAAUGAUGUUGCUGUUGAUAUCCAAGAACUAUAUGUGUUUUUGAUGUAUUGGUAGCCUUUGGAGUUUGUUUUGGAGAAGAUUGAUUGCGUAUGCCAUUAUUUUUCAUGGUGGAAGGCUUUGACUGGACUAGGUCCUCAAGUUUUUCCCUUCACACUGAAGGGGUUCCUCGUAAACAAAUUUUCGUGUUCUAUUAUUUAUCUUUGCAUUGUGUGUGAGUUAUUAAAGCCGGUUGUUAUUAUUACCAUUCCAAAUUUUGUAGAAUAGAGAGAUUGUAAUUUACUUCGCUACUUGUUUUUCUGGUACAAUACUAACAAAGUGGUAUCAGGGCAUAUUGAAGUGAGGUAUCAUUAGAUUCGAGAUGUUCUGGAGGUGAAGAAGUUACAACUUGAGAAAAUCCAUACGGAUAAGAAUGGUUCAGAUAUGAUGACAAAGCCAUUACCUAUGGAGAAUCUACAUAUAUGUAGAAGGAAUGUGGGCUUGGUGGAGUCCCUCACAUAGUCGGGAGAGGGAGAUUUGUUGGGUCUUCCUCUCACGUGAGAGAACUUGCUAAUUUUAAUGGUAAGAGAGGACCAAUUUCCACCAAGUACCAAACCAAUUUUAAAAGCAAAAAAUCAAAGAUAAAUGACAUAGAUACAGAGAAUGAAAACAGAAAAGAGAACAAGAGAAAGAGAUAAAAGGAUUUCAGCUCUUUUUGCCAAUGAUCGAGGCUUAUUCAUGGUUUAAUUAAAUUGAAAUUUUAGUAUGUUAGUCCUAGUGAAGAGAGCUACGUUUUGUUUGAAACUGAUCGUCCAGUUUCCUCUUCAAUUCUCUAAACAGCAUACACUUAUUUAAUUAGAUUUUCUCUUUCUUAUCUCCUGCAUACUUUUUGGAAUGAUGUUGUUGAUAUUUAUCUUAGCAGGGUGUAUGAGUUAUUAAAGCUGGUUAUUAUGAUUACCAUUCUAAAUUCUAUAGAAUAGAGAUAUUGUAAUAUAAUUCGCUGCUUGUCUAUCUGGUACAAUACCAACAAAUUGAAAUUAAAAUCUAGACGAUAUAUGGGCACGUGUGAUCUCCUUGAUGGAGCAGCAACCACUCGAAGACAUGGCAACAAGCACUUUGCUUAUAUCUUCCAAUCUGUCAUCAUUUUUGCCACAAAUUUCUGAUAGUUUAGGGAAUAUAUUUUCUGCAAUUCUUGUAUAUUCAAUAACCAGAAAUUUAGAGAUACAUAUAACAGCCGGAUGACCUCUAUAUUUGGUUACUUCCAACUAAUUAAGAUAGACAGCUAUAAUUACAACUUUAAUUAGAAGAUUAUUGCCACAAAUUACUCUAAUUUUACAACUCAUGCCAACAAUUUCAGUCUUUAGAUAACGACUAAAGUUUGAAUAUGAUGUGAUUUUAACACGGAUUUGUACUGUUCCAACUCUUACUGUUUGUUUGAGCUCCAUUAUAAUGUCAAGAAUACAUUUUAAAAUAGUAGAUUAAUGAAGAAUUCGUG
Molecule: long non-coding RNA, 2039 nt
Filed under: Olea europaea subsp. europaea
Lineage: Eukaryota; Viridiplantae; Streptophyta; Magnoliopsida; Lamiales; Oleaceae
Source: RNAcentral